CGCAUCUGUGCAUGCAGCAUAUCAAUAAGCGGAGGAAAAGAAACUAACAAGGAUUCCCCUAGUAACGGCGAGUGAAGCGGGAAGAGCUCAAAUUUGAAAUCUUAAAGGGUUUCCCUUUACGAAUUGUAGUUUAAAGAAGUGUUUUCUGUUGAGGUUUUGGUAAAAGUUCUUUGGAAUAGGACAUCAUAGAGGGUGAGAAUCCCGUAUUUGACCUUUACUUUCAACUUUGUGAUACACUUUCAAAGAGUCGGAUUGUUUGGGAAUGCAGUCCAAAAUGGGUGGUAAAUUUCAUCUAAAGCUAAAUAUUGGCGAGAGACCGAUAGCGAACAAGUACCGUGAGGGAAAGAUGAAAAGAACUUUGAAAAGAGAGUUAAACAGUACGUGAAAUUGUCAAAAGGGAAGCGUUUGACACCAGUGUUGCUUUUUCUGAAAAUCAAUUAAAGAACUGUUUAUGCUAAGUUGUUUAGACUUUAUCAGCUAUCUGUUUAGUUUUGAGCUUUUCUUUAAUGCACUUUUCAGUUAACAAGUCAACAUCAAUUUCUUUUGCUGUAAAAAAGCUUGAGGAAGGUGGCUUGAGAUUCGUCUUAAGUGUUUAUAGCCUCUUGCCUAUGCAGUCGGAGAGAUUGAAGUCUGCAGCGUAGAUCCUUCGGGGCUAAAUGCAUUUGUGCUAAGUUAUAGCAUUUUAUAGACAACUUGUUGACUAUGAUUUGUCUUGUAGCUUACUCGCUUAUGUUAUUUUACCUACGCUUAGGAUGUUGAACGCGCACAGAGUCUC
This 775-nucleotide ribosomal RNA is filed under the name uncultured Neocallimastigales. RNAcentral describes it as "partial large subunit ribosomal RNA". It matches the Rfam family "Eukaryotic large subunit ribosomal RNA", at positions 26 to 641 of the family's 3401-position model. The record is from RNAcentral. Lineage: Eukaryota; Fungi; Neocallimastigomycota; Neocallimastigomycetes; Neocallimastigales.